Molecule: long non-coding RNA, 1938 nt
Organism: Prosopis cineraria
Lineage: Eukaryota; Viridiplantae; Streptophyta; Magnoliopsida; Fabales; Fabaceae
Exons: 4
Source: RefSeq, a predicted model, not a curated record
UUUUUUUUUUAUAUACAUAAUGGAUUAGUUUAUUUGUUGCAUCUUUGGCUUUAUGGAUCUGCAAAUAGCAUUCUUGAAUUGUCUUAAAUAUCUAUAUUUUGUUGUAGAAAUAGGAAACAAGAAAGAAUGUCAUACCUGUAAUUAGUCUUACUUUGGUUACUGUUAAAGUUGGGAAUUUAUGAAUAUUAUUCUUUAAUUGGAUUUUUUUUUUAUAUUAACUGUUUGAGUAUGAACUAAUGGUCAUUUUCUUUCUUCACCCUCUUCAGUAUAAAAUUUGGCACGGGUAUAAAUCAUCCGUUUGAAUCCGUGAACACUUAAUUUCUAUUCUUCCUUGAACCAUUCAAAUAUCUUCACCAUCUUUCUAAUGUUUUUCCCAUCUGAUCUUAAGUUUAAAUCAUUAUCUAUCUUUUUUCACCCUCACCAUUUGUAUUUGGUAUGAGUUGAUUAUUUCAAAGUAGCCUCCUAUGCUAAAGUCUAUGAAACCUAAUUAACUUGUCAGAUUUCCAUAUUGAUUAGAAAUUUAGACCGUAAGUGCAAAAUAUUCACAGGGAAAUUCACUCCUGCAAACACCAAAGUCAUUUCCUGCCUUGAAGAUACUGAUUUAGAAUGCAAUAGGCAUAAGAGCAACAAGAAAAAUAGGGUAAGAACAAUUUGUUUAGAUUCAUACCAACCAUUUAACUUGAAAAAUGUGAUGGUUUUGACAACAGCAGCAAUGAAUAACAAUCAUAAAGUUGAAGACCAGAAAGAUGCUCUACUGCCUCAAUAAAACAAUCCAUCUCUCUGAGUGUAUCCUCAAACGAGGAGGAUGAACUUAGUUUUAUGCAUGAAUUGGUAUUAGACAAUCUUGUUUGCAUGACAUGUAUGUACAAUUUAAUUCUAUUUUUUUGCUUAUACCAUAUAACAAUUUAAAAAUUGCAUGCAAGCUAAAUACCUGUUAUAGAUGCUGAUUUUUUUCCUUUUUUUCUUUUAAUCCUUGCAAAUGUUUAAAAAAAGGAUGAUGGGUGCAAGGAAGUGUAACUUUCUGAUUUUGAAGGUUACUAAAGUGUUUGGGGCAGGGGGUAUGAAGGUUCAGAUAAUGUGAUUACUGAUGAGAUGGAGCUCCAGCAACAUCAGAAACUUGAGAAGCUCUACAUAUCAACACAAGCGGGAAAGGUUGCUAGGUCCUCUUAUGCAGUUUUUUAUUCUUAUAAACCUUUUACUUCAAUGGAUCCCCUCAAUUGACUGUUGAUAACAUGAAUUUUUUUUUGCUCAACAUUAUCAAAGGGAUCCCGUGUGGUAGAAGCUCAUAUUGUUACUGGAUCGACGCAAGUUGAACUAGGUUAGUAACAUUGGGAGGCGAAAUUGGUACUUGCUCUUUUUGUUGAUUAAGGGAAGUUAAGCUCAAGGGGAAAGAGAGUUUAGCGGGACUUUACCUUUUUCUAGCUGAUGUGAUAAGUAGGCACGUAAGCCACUAAGUGCAGCAGCAUGGAGACACUUUUUUGGUCUUUUUUAUUUCUAGGAAGUGCAAUUGAGCAGCUUUAGUCGCUUCGGAAAAAAUAUCAGUAGUAGGGGGCCUCUAUCGAAUCCUCAAUUUGCAUGAAUAUGGGAUUGCAGCUUUAGUUAGGGAUUCUAUUAGUAGUCUUCUUUAAGGUACUGGAAGUACUAGACUUGGAACAUCUCGAGAGAUUGCUUGUGAUCAUCUCUUGAUUAAAUCAACAUGUACUGUUCGGAUGAAUUGAGCUGUUCUCUGUUUUUGUUUUAAAUAGUGGGGAAUGUGAUUACUGCUAUUAAUUUUGACAGCUUAAACCCAAAGAUCAUGUGGAAAUGAUUUCACACAUGAGGCCAACCAUAUGGGUUGCUUUGGCUAAUGAAGCACCUGCUUGGGUAUCAUCAUAUAAAAGGAACAAAACCUCAGUACGUUGAACUGUUAGAAGUCUUUAUGACUGCCUUGCAUUGAAU